This 560-nucleotide ribosomal RNA is filed under the name uncultured bacterium. RNAcentral describes it as "bacterial SSU rRNA". It matches the Rfam family "Bacterial small subunit ribosomal RNA", at positions 338 to 916 of the family's 1533-position model. The record is from RNAcentral.
CCUAGGGAGGCAGCGGUGGGGAAUAUUGGACAAUGGGCGAAAGCCUGAUCCAGCAAUGCCGCGUGAGUGAUGAAGGCCUUCGGGUCGUAAAGCUCUUUUACCAGGGAUGAUAAUGACAGUACCUGGAGAAUAAGCUCCGGCUAACUCCGUGCCAGCAGCCGCGGUAAUACGGAGGGAGCUAGCGUUGUUCGGAAUUACUGGGCGUAAAGAGUACGUAGGCGGUUAUUCAAGUCAGAGGUGAAAGCCCGGGGCUCAACCCCGGAACUGCCUUUGAAACUAGAUAACUAGAGUCUUGGAGAGGUUAGUGGAAUUCCGAGUGUAGAGGUGAAAUUCGUAGAUAUUCGGAAGAACACCAGUGGCGAAGGCGACUAACUGGACAAGUACUGACGCUGAGGUACGAAAGCGUGGGGAGCAAACAGGAUUAGAUACCCUGGUAGUCCACGCCGUAAACGAUGAUAACUAGUUGUUCGGUCACUUGGUGACUGAGUGACGCAGCUAACGCAUUAAGUUAUCCGCCUGGGGAGUACGGUCGCAAGNUUAAAACUCAAAGGAAUUGACGG